This 389-nucleotide ribosomal RNA is filed under the name Cylindrotheca sp. Its description in RNAcentral is "partial small subunit ribosomal RNA". It matches the Rfam family "Eukaryotic small subunit ribosomal RNA", at positions 582 to 975 of the family's 1831-position model. Lineage: Eukaryota; Bacillariophyta; Bacillariophyceae; Bacillariales; Bacillariaceae. The record is from RNAcentral.
AUUCCAGCUCCAAUAGCGUAUAUUAAAGUUGUUGCAGUUAAAAAGCUCGUAGUUGGAUUUGUGGUGUACUUCGGCGGCCCGUCACCUAGUGAUGGAGCUUGCUGAAGUCGCCAUCCUUGGGUGGAUCCUGUGUGGCAUUAAGUUGUCGUGCAGGGGAUGCCCAUCGUUUACUGUGAAAAAAUUAGAGUGUUCAAAGCAGGCUUAUGCCGUUGAAUAUAUUAGCAUGGAAUAAUAAGAUAGGACCUUGGUACUAUUUUGUUGGUUUGCGCACCAAGGUAAUGAUUAAUAGGGACAGUUGGGGGUAUUCGUAUUUCAUUGUCAGAGGUGAAAUUCUUGGAUUUUUGAAAGACGAACUACUGCGAAAGCAUUUACCAAGGAUGUUUUCAUUA